GACGAACGCUGGCGGCGUGCUUUACACAUGCAAGUCGAACGGAAAGGCCCCUUUGGGGGUACUCGAGUGGCGAACGGGUGAGUAACACGUGAGUAACCUGCCCUUGACUUCGGGAUAACUUCAGGAAACUGGGGCUAAUACCGGAUAGGAAUCCUUGCUGCAUGGUGGGGGUUGGAAAGCUUCGGCGGUUUUGGAUGGACUCGCGGCUUAUCAGCUUGUUGGUGGGGUAGUGGCUUACCAAGGCUUUGACGGGUAGCCGGCCUGAGAGGGCGACCGGCCACAUUGGGACUGAGAUACGGCCCAGACUCCUACGGGAGGCAGCAGUGGGGAAGAUUGCACAAUGGGCGGAAGCCUGAUGCAGCAAGGCCGCGUGCGGGAUGACGGCCUUCGGGUUGUAAACCGCUUUCAGCAGGGGCGAAGCUUGUGGUGACGGUACCUGCAGAAGAAGCACCGGCUAACUACGUG
Molecule: ribosomal RNA, 465 nt
Filed under: uncultured bacterium
Lineage: Bacteria
Description: partial 16S ribosomal RNA
Rfam family: Bacterial small subunit ribosomal RNA
Source: RNAcentral